RNAcentral lists this long non-coding RNA (292 nucleotides) under Trifolium pratense (red clover). RNAcentral's name for it is "long non-coding RNA (TPRA_LNC010140)". Lineage: Eukaryota; Viridiplantae; Streptophyta; Magnoliopsida; Fabales; Fabaceae. The record is from RNAcentral.
UUUAGAUUCAGAAGAGUUGUUGAGUGGCUUAUAACAACAAGGAAACAUGAGAUGUCAAAUUGUAAAAAACUGUCAAAAACACUUAGAAUUUUUUCUAAGUGUCAAACAGCUUAAACUUUGAGUUUUGGUGGCCAGUUAUCUCUAUGAUCCCAAUGUAUUCAGGACAAGUGAUCAAAAUCAAAGUUGUAGAGGCAGAUGCCAUAUUUCCAAUGACACCAAGAGCAUGAAUUUAUCCUUCUUGAGAACCAAGUUUCGAAGGGGAGAAGUGACCAUGUUAGAGCUGAUUUAUGGG